Molecule: microRNA precursor, 123 nt
Filed under: Oryza sativa (Asian cultivated rice)
Lineage: Eukaryota; Viridiplantae; Streptophyta; Magnoliopsida; Poales; Poaceae
Description: miR5538 stem-loop (osa-MIR5538)
Source: miRBase by way of RNAcentral
AUGAGGAACUACUGAACUCAAUCACUUGCUGCCGUUACUCAACAGUUUUCUGUUGAGGUCUAUCCCGUAGAGGUAGUCAAAUUAGAACGGGAGGAGAGGAGGUGAGUAGGGGUAGUUCAAUGG